UUCAAUACUGGGCAAAGCAGGGGAAAUCCUGUGACGCAAAACUAGAGGGCCUUUAAAAUGGUAGCCAGGUGCAUAA
Molecule: non-coding RNA, 76 nt
Filed under: Lachnospira pectinoschiza
Lineage: Bacteria; Bacillati; Bacillota; Clostridia; Lachnospirales; Lachnospiraceae
Description: GEMM cis-regulatory element
Rfam family: c-di-GMP-I riboswitch aptamer
About the family: GEMM was predicted in a large-scale screen for bacterial structured RNA regulatory elements.
Source: RNAcentral